UGGGGAAUCUUGCGCAAUGGGGGAAACCCUGACGCAGCGACGCCGCGUGCGGGAUGAAGGCCUUCGGGUUGUAAACCGCUUUCAGCAGGGACGAGGCCUUAUGGUGACGGUACCUGCAGAAGAAGCUCCGGCUAAAUACGUGCCAGCAGCCGCGGUAAUACGUAUGGAGCAAGCGUUAUCCGGAUUCAUUGGGCGUAAAGCGCUCGUAGGCGGUCUGUUAGGUCGGCAAGUUAAAUCCGGGGGCUCAACCCCCGUCCGCUUCCGAUACCGGCAGACUUGAGUUUGGUAGGGGAAGGUUGAAUUCCUAGUGGAGCGGUGGAAUGCGCAGAUAGUAGGAAGAACACCGGUGGCGAAGGCGGCCUUCUGGGCCAUAACUGACGCUGAGGAGCGAAAGCUAGGGGAGCGAACAGG
This 411-nucleotide ribosomal RNA is filed under the name Verrucomicrobiota bacterium. Its description in RNAcentral is "Verrucomicrobia bacterium partial 16S ribosomal RNA". It matches the Rfam family "Bacterial small subunit ribosomal RNA", at positions 355 to 776 of the family's 1533-position model. Lineage: Bacteria; Pseudomonadati; Verrucomicrobiota. The record is from RNAcentral.